This 497-nucleotide ribosomal RNA is filed under the name uncultured bacterium. RNAcentral describes it as "partial 16S ribosomal RNA". It matches the Rfam family "Bacterial small subunit ribosomal RNA", at positions 28 to 507 of the family's 1533-position model. The record is from RNAcentral.
GAUGAACGCUGGCGGCGUGCCUAAUACAUGCAAGUCGAGCGAACAGACGAGGAGCUUGCUCCUCUGACGUUAGCGGCGGACGGGUGAGUAACACGUGGAUAACCUCCCUAUAUGACUGGGAUAACUUCGGGAAACCGGAGCUAAUCCCGGAUAAUCUAUUGAACCGCAUGGUUCAAUAGUGAAAGACGGUUUUGCUGUCACUUAUAGCUGGAUCCGCGCCGCAUUAGCUAGUUGGUAAGGUAACGGCUUACCAAGGCAACGAUGCGUAGCCGACCUGAGAGGGUGAUCGGCCACACUGGAACUGAGACACGGUCCAGACUCCUACGGGAGGCAGCAGUAGGGAAUCUUCCGCAAUGGGCGAAAGCCUGACGGAGCAACGCCGCGUGAGUGAUGAAGGUCUUCGGAUCGUAAAACUCGGUUAUUAGGGAAGAACAAAUGUGUAAGUAACUAUGCACGUCUUGACGGUACCUAAUCAGAAAGCCACGGCUAACUACGUG